This 912-nucleotide ribosomal RNA is filed under the name uncultured bacterium. RNAcentral describes it as "bacterial SSU rRNA". It matches the Rfam family "Bacterial small subunit ribosomal RNA", at positions 8 to 916 of the family's 1533-position model. The record is from RNAcentral.
AGAGUUUGAUCAUGGCUCAGGAUGAACGCUAGCGACAGGCUUAACACAUGCAAGUCGAGGGGUAACAGGGUAGCAAUACCGCUGACGACCGGCGCACGGGUGAGUAACGCGUAUGCAACCUGCCUAUAACUGGGGAAUAGCUCCCUGAAAGGGGAAUUAACACCGCAUAACACUAUUGAUUCGCAUGGAUUGGUAGUUAAAUGUAGCGAUACAGGUUAUAGAUGGGCAUGCGUGACAUUAGCUAGUUGGUGAGGUAACGGCUCACCAAGGCUACGAUGUCUAGGGGUUCUGAGAGGAAGGUCCCCCACACUGGUACUGAGACACGGACCAGACUCCUACGGGAGGCAGCAGUGAGGAAUAUUGGUCAAUGGGCGCAAGCCUGAACCAGCCAUGUCGCGUGCAGGAAGACUGCCCUAUGGGUUGUAAACUGCUUUUAUAGUAGAAGAAACACAUCUACGCGUAGAUGUCUGCCAGUAUACUAUGAAUAAGCAUCGGCUAACUCCGUGCCAGCAGCCGCGGUAAUACGGAGGAUGCAAGCGUUAUCCGGAUUUAUUGGGUUUAAAGGGUGCGUAGGCGGGACUGUAAGUCAGGGGUGAAAUACUGCAGCUUAACUGUAGCAUUGCCUUUGAAACUGCCGUUCUUGAGUACAGUUGAGGUAGGCGGAAUGUGGUGUGUAGCGGUGAAAUGCAUAGAUAUACCACAGAACGCCGAUUGCGAAGGCAGCUUACUAAGCUGUUACUGACGCUGAGGCACGAAAGCGUGGGGAUCAAACAGGAUUAGAUACCCUGGUAGUCCACGCUGUAAACGAUGAUUACUGGUUGUUAGCGAUAUAUAGCUAGUGACUGAGCGAAAGCAUUAAGUAAUCCACCUGGGGAGUACGUCGGCAACGAUGAAACUCAAAUGAAUUGACGG